CUCCUGCCUCAGCCUCUGGGAGUAGCUGGGACUACAGGGGCCCGCCACCACGCCCGGAUAAUUUUUUUCUAUUUUUUAGUAGAGACGGGGUUUCACCGUGUUAGCCGGGACGGUCUUAAUCUCCUGACCUAGUUAUCCGCCAGCCUCGGCCUCCCAAAGUGCUGGAAUUACGGGUGUAAAAUGUAAAUAUUGAGAGGGUAAAAUAUCUUUCUGGAGAGUUGCAUUUUGGUCGAUGUCAACUGGAGACACAAGAGUGACCAGAUUGUUAAGAGAGUGGUUGGUUACGGUCCCAAGAGUAAAUCACAAAUAAAGGACUGUGGUCUUACUAAACAGUAAGGCUCCGGUGAAAUGUGCCGUGAAAGACACCUAUAGUUGCUUUAUCAUGAGAGGCAAAUGUCGACAUGAGUGUCAUGAUUUUGAAAAACCAAUUGGUUUCUGCACAAAACUAAAUGCCAACUGUUAUAUGUAGAAGUUUGAAAUAAAAAUCAGCAUCCCUCAAAAGUAAAGCACAGUGAGUACAAGGAUUAGUAAUAAAAGAAACUGAAUUAC
Homo sapiens (human) is the source of this 549-nucleotide long non-coding RNA. Lineage: Eukaryota; Metazoa; Chordata; Mammalia; Primates; Hominidae. The record is from Ensembl.